RNAcentral lists this long non-coding RNA (320 nucleotides) under Zostera marina. RNAcentral's name for it is "long non-coding RNA (ZMAR_LNC001408)". Lineage: Eukaryota; Viridiplantae; Streptophyta; Magnoliopsida; Alismatales; Zosteraceae. The record is from RNAcentral.
UUGAACAAAUUUGGGGACAAUGGUUUGAACAAUUUACGAAACCAUGGUUGGAACUAUUUGAGAAAGAAUGUUUUCAACUGAUUUAUGAACAAUGAUUUUAACCGUUUAUGGAACUAUGGUUGUAACUACUUUAGGAACAACGCGUUAAACCAAUUUGGGGACAAUAGUUUCAACCAUUUCUGAAAUUCCGAUCGAAACUAUUUCAGAAACAAUGCUUCCCACUGAUUUAUGAACAAUGGUUUCAACCAUUUAAGAGACAUUGGUAUGAACAAGGGUUCCUCCAUGGUUGUAAGUAUUUCAGAAAUCAUACUUCAACUUUU